This 253-nucleotide ribosomal RNA is filed under the name uncultured bacterium. RNAcentral's name for it is "partial 16S ribosomal RNA". It matches the Rfam family "Bacterial small subunit ribosomal RNA", at positions 524 to 776 of the family's 1533-position model. The record is from RNAcentral.
UACGUAGGGUGCGAGCGUUGUCCGGAAUUAUUGGGCGUAAAGAGCUUGUGGGUGGCUCGUCGCGUCGGGAGUGAAAACCCGCGGCUUAACCGCGGGCCUGCUUUCGAUACGGGCAGACUAGAGUUCGGCAGGGGAGACUGGAAUUCCUGGUGUAGCGGUGAAAUGCGCAGAUAUCAGGAGGAACACCGGUGGCGAAGGCGGGUCUCUGGGCCGAUACUGACGCUGAGGAGCGAAAGCGUGGGGAGCGAACAGG